ACGCUCCUACGGGGGGCAGCAGUGAGGAAUAUUGGUCAAUGGGCGCGAGCCUGAACCAGCCAAGUCGCGUGAGGGAGGACGGCCCUACGGGUUGUAAACCUCUUUUGCCGGGGAGCAACGGGCGUCACGUGUGGCGCCACUGAGAGUACCCGGAGAAAAAGCAUCGGCUGACUCCGUGCCAGCAGCCGCGGUAAUACGUAGGUGGCGAGCGUUAUCCGGAAUGAUUGGGCGUAAAGGGUGCGCAGGCGGUCCUGCAAGUCUGGAGUGAAACGCAUGAGCUCAACUCAUGCAUGGCUUUGGAAACU
This 305-nucleotide ribosomal RNA is filed under the name uncultured bacterium. RNAcentral's name for it is "bacterial SSU rRNA". It matches the Rfam family "Bacterial small subunit ribosomal RNA", at positions 333 to 634 of the family's 1533-position model. The record is from RNAcentral.